Triticum aestivum (bread wheat) is the source of this 114-nucleotide non-coding RNA. The record is from Rfam. NCBI's taxonomy places the organism in Eukaryota, Viridiplantae, Streptophyta, Magnoliopsida, Poales, Poaceae.
CUUAUACUUCCUCCGUCCUAAAAUUCUUGUCUUAGAUUUGUCACGUUUUAGUAUUAGGUACAUUCGUAUCUAGACAAAUCUAAGACAAGAAUUUUGGGGCGGAGGGAGUACAAG